AACGCACAUUGCGCCCGCUAGUAUUCUGGCGGGCAUGCCUGUUCGAGCGUCAUUUCAACCAUCAAGCCCUGCUUGUGUUGGGGUCCUGCGGCUGCCCGCAGGCCCUGAAAACCAGUGGCGGGCUCGCUAGUCACACCGAGCGCAGUAGCACAUCUCGCUCAGGGCGUGCGGCGGGUUCUUGCCGUUAAACCCCCCCUUUCCAAAGGUUGACCUCGGAUCAGGUAGGAAUACCCGCUGAACUUAA
RNAcentral lists this unclassified non-coding RNA (244 nucleotides) under uncultured fungus. Its description in RNAcentral is "partial contains 5.8S rRNA and ITS2". The record is from RNAcentral. Lineage: Eukaryota; Fungi.